This 443-nucleotide ribosomal RNA is filed under the name uncultured bacterium. RNAcentral describes it as "partial 16S ribosomal RNA". It matches the Rfam family "Bacterial small subunit ribosomal RNA", at positions 338 to 795 of the family's 1533-position model. The record is from RNAcentral.
CCUACGGGUGGCUGCAGUGGGGAAUAUUGGGCAAUGGAGGCAACUCUGACCCAGCAACGCCGCGUGAAUGAUGAAGGUCUUCGGAUUGUAAAGUUCUUUUCUAAGGGAAGAAGAAAGUGACGGUACCUUAGGAAUAAGCCUCGGCUAACUACGUGCCAGCAGCCGCGGUAAUACGUAGGAGGCAAGCGUUAUCCGGAAUGACUGGGCGUAAAGGGGGCGUAGGUGGUUUGACAAGUUGGUAGCGUAACUCCGGGGCUCAACUUCGGAACUACUACCAAAACUGUUGGACUCGAGUGCAGGAGGGGCAACUGGAAUUUCUAGUGUAGCGGUGGAAUGCGUAGAUAUUAGGAAGAACACCGGUGGCGAAGGCGAGUUGCUGGACUGUAACUGACACUGAGGCACGAAAGCGUGGGGAGCAAACAGGAUUAGAUACCCGGGUAGUC